This 873-nucleotide long non-coding RNA is filed under the name Pan troglodytes (chimpanzee). Its description in RNAcentral is "long non-coding RNA NONPTRT005493". Lineage: Eukaryota; Metazoa; Chordata; Mammalia; Primates; Hominidae. The record is from RNAcentral.
CUCAGAAAUUACAUAGCAUUUGUCAAGGAUAUAAGAGGGACUGUGCCACAUCUGGCUGUAUAGAAGGUGGUUCCAUAUCUUUAAAUAGAGCCCCAGGUCCUUAGCCACCAGAAAGGUUUUCAGGGGAAGUGUGCACCCUCAGCAGCUGCUGCUGGUGAGCAGCAUGGGCACACAUGGAACAGGCUUUCCUCUGUGGCCAGGUGAGAAGCAGGUGGUGAGACACAGAGCAGUGCUGGGCUCUGCUUCUGAAGCCUCCAACCUUUCCUUCCCUAGGAAGCCCCAGAGAGAUUGGUGAGGGUGAUUUCCCAGGAAGACGCAGUGUGCUCUGACUUCUGUGACAGUGAGCAACGGGACCAGUGGAUGUCCAGAUGCUGGCAAUGAGACAUACUCUGGAGUCAGAAGACAGCGAAAAGAGAAGCAGAAGCCCCGGUGGCAAGAGUCUGAAGGAAGGAUGACUGUAGCCUGUGGAUUGUACUGCAGUAGGAAACUGUCCUAGCAAGGCUCCACCUUGCCCCAGCUUCAAGCUGGAAAGGAGGAGAACAUGAAACAUUGCUUGAAGACAAUGGCCGAGACAGCAGGUCCCACCCUGCACAGCCAACAGCAUCUCUCCCCUCAGCCCUGUCUCCUCUUCUGCAGUUGGGAUCUGCACAUUUAAGCCUGAAGUGUUGUGGGAUGUAUCUUGCACUGGGGCCAGGCAGCUGACCAGAGCCACCCACAAGGAGCCUCUGGAAUUAACCUCAGGUAGCCACUCAGGCCAGGCAGGGGAGAGACCCUGGGCCUCCCUUCCAGCAGGGACCUUCCUUCCCAUGCUGCUGUGCCAGCCAGUUCCCACAUGCAGUGCACUUGUUCCUUCCAUUUGGGCUGCCUUUCCCC